This 488-nucleotide ribosomal RNA is filed under the name uncultured Lachnospiraceae bacterium. RNAcentral's name for it is "bacterial SSU rRNA". It matches the Rfam family "Bacterial small subunit ribosomal RNA", at positions 8 to 507 of the family's 1533-position model. Lineage: Bacteria; Bacillati; Bacillota; Clostridia; Lachnospirales; Lachnospiraceae. The record is from RNAcentral.
AGAGUUUGAUCCUGGCUCAGGAUGAACGCUGGCGGCGUGCCUAACACAUGCAAGUCGAACGGACUCAUACUGAAACCUAGUGAUUUAUGAGUUAGUGGCGGACGGGUGAGUAACACGUGGAUAACCUGCCGUAUACCGGGGGAUAACACUUAGAAAUAGGUGCUAAUACCGCAUGAGCGCACAGCUCCGCAUGGGGCGGUGUGAAAAACUCCGGUGGUAUACGAUGGAUCCGCGUCUGAUUAGCCAGUUGGCGGGGUAACGGCCCACCAAAGCGACGAUCAGUAGCCGGCCUGAGAGGGUGAACGGCCACAUUGGGACUGAGACACGGCCCAGACUCCUACGGGAGGCAGCAGUGGGGAAUAUUGCACAAUGGGGGAAACCCUGAUGCAGCGACGCCGCGUGAGUGAAGAAGUAUCUCGAUAUGUAAAGCUCUAUCAGCAGGAAAGAUAAUGACGGUACCUGACUAAGAAGCCCCGGCUAACUACGUG